Molecule: long non-coding RNA, 197 nt
Organism: Syngnathus acus (greater pipefish)
Lineage: Eukaryota; Metazoa; Chordata; Actinopteri; Syngnathiformes; Syngnathidae
Exons: 3
Source: RefSeq, a predicted model, not a curated record
GUUAGGGUUAUCCAGAUUAUUUUGAUUGUAUGAUUAUGUUGGAAUGUAGACUAUAAUGAUUAACCAAGCUUUGUCCUGCUCUCACAACGCAGUAAAAUAAAGUGGUUGCAUCCUCUCCUUGAUUGACCAGCUGCAGAGGAAGCAAUCAAAUUUGUUCUGUUUCCCUCAACGUCGUAAAACACCCCCUGGUCUGAUUU